UUACGACCACAUCAUAUUGAAACAUUGGUUCUCGUACGAUCACCAAAGUUAAGUCAAGCCGAGCCUGGUCAGUAACUAGAUGGGUGACUGCUUGCGAAUACCAGGUGCUGUAAG
Acanthosepion pharaonis is the source of this 114-nucleotide non-coding RNA. NCBI's taxonomy places the organism in Eukaryota, Metazoa, Mollusca, Cephalopoda, Sepiida, Sepiidae. The record is from the annotation of a GenBank genome assembly.